RNAcentral lists this ribosomal RNA (229 nucleotides) under uncultured bacterium. RNAcentral describes it as "partial 16S ribosomal RNA". It matches the Rfam family "Bacterial small subunit ribosomal RNA", at positions 568 to 796 of the family's 1533-position model. The record is from RNAcentral.
CGCGUAGGCGGUCUGGUUAGUCAGAUGUGAAAGCCCAGGGCUCAACCCUGGACGUGCAUUUGAAACAGCAAGACUUGAGUACGGGAGAGGAAAGCGGAAUUCCUGGUGUAGAGGUGAAAUUCGUAGAUAUCAGGAGGAACACCGAUGGCGAAGGCAGCUUUCUGGACCGAUACUGACGCUGAGGCGCGAAGGCGUGGGUAGCGAACAGGAUUAGAUACCCUGGUAGUCC